This 496-nucleotide ribosomal RNA is filed under the name uncultured bacterium. RNAcentral's name for it is "partial 16S ribosomal RNA". It matches the Rfam family "Bacterial small subunit ribosomal RNA", at positions 28 to 506 of the family's 1533-position model. The record is from RNAcentral.
GAUGAACGCUGGCGGCGUGCCUAAUACAUGCAAGUCGAGCGAACAGACGAGGAGCUUGCUCCUCUGACGUUAGCGGCGGACGGGUGAGUAACACGUGGAUAACCUACCUAUAAGACUGGGAUAACUUCGGGAAACCGGAGCUAAUACCGGAUAAUAUAUUGAACCGCAUGGUUCAAUAGUGAAAGACGGUUUUGCUGUCACUUAUAGAUGGAUCCGCGCCGCAUUAGCUAGUUGGUAAGGUAACGGCUUACCAAGGCAACGAUGCGUAGCCGACCUGAGAGGGUGAUGGGCCACACGGGAACGGAGACACGGUCCAGACUCAUAGGGGAGGGAGGAGGAGGGAAUUUUCCGCAAGGGGAGAAAGCCUGACGGAGCAACGCCGCGGGGGUGAAGAAGGUCUGCGGCUCGUAAAACUUUGUUAUUAGGGAAGAACAAAUGUGUAAGUAACUAUGCACGUCUGGAGGGAACCAAAUCAGAAAGCCACGGCAAACUCCGG